This 273-nucleotide ribosomal RNA is filed under the name uncultured bacterium. RNAcentral describes it as "partial 16S ribosomal RNA". It matches the Rfam family "Bacterial small subunit ribosomal RNA", at positions 524 to 796 of the family's 1533-position model. The record is from RNAcentral.
GACGUAGGGCGCGAGCGUUGUCCGGAUUUAUUGGGCGUAAAGAGCUCGUAGGCGGCUUGUCGCGUCGAAUGUGAAAACUUGGGGCUCAACUCCAAGCUUGCAUUCGAUACGGGCAGGCUAGAGUUCGGUAGGGGAGACUGGAAUUCCUGGUGUAGCGGUGAAAUGCGCAGAUAUCAGGAGGAACACCGGUGGCGAAGGCGGGUCUCUGGGCCGAUACUGACGCUGAGGAGCGAAAGCGUGGGGAGCGAACAGGAUUAGAAACCCUAGUAGUCC